This 555-nucleotide ribosomal RNA is filed under the name Triticum aestivum (bread wheat). RNAcentral describes it as "partial small subunit ribosomal RNA". The record is from RNAcentral. Lineage: Eukaryota; Viridiplantae; Streptophyta; Magnoliopsida; Poales; Poaceae.
AUGACUACGAGGAGAUGGUGGACGCGGCGCGACGGCAGCGACGACGCCGACGAUCUCGUCCCCAUGGACACCCAAGAGCAGGAGGAGCUGGUCCGUUCCCUGGAGCAGAAGCAGGUGCACCAAAGCCGCCGUUGGAGGCACGUCUUUGCGGGAUUCCUCCUGAGCUACACGGUCUUCCUCGUCUACUCCAGCUUCCACCAUGCCUGGUCUCCCUGGGAGCUGCGAUACCAUGCUUACUUUAUGGAAGAUUUGCCUUCGCCGAUGGUCAUCGUUGCAGCUGCCCUUGCAUGCUUAUUCGCAGUUAAGGGGCUACUACAAGCAUCCAACUCCUCCAAGAAGUGGAUGUGGUAUUCAUUCUAUGUUGGCAUGGCGGUUGCCAUCUUCUGGACAUACUACCUCUUGAAGUUACCAAGGAUCCGAUGGGAUGUAGUGUGGCUCCCGCUUGGCCCUUUGAUUGCUUCUGCAUUGAGCAUCUAUGUGGACCAUACGCUAAUGAAGUCGAUGCAAGAUAUCAGCACCUUGAGGGGCUACAUGUACAACUUCAAGUCCCUGUGA